AAUGUACUCCCUCCGUCCCAAAAUUCUUGUCUUAAAUUUGUUUAAAUACGAAUGUAUCUAAUACUAAAACAUGAGUUGAUACAUCUGUAUUUAGACAAAUCUAAGACAAGAAUUUUGGGACGGAGGGAGUAUUAG
Non-coding RNA from Triticum aestivum (bread wheat), 135 nucleotides. The record is from Rfam. Lineage: Eukaryota; Viridiplantae; Streptophyta; Magnoliopsida; Poales; Poaceae.